RNAcentral lists this ribosomal RNA (460 nucleotides) under uncultured bacterium. RNAcentral describes it as "partial 16S ribosomal RNA". It matches the Rfam family "Bacterial small subunit ribosomal RNA", at positions 338 to 795 of the family's 1533-position model. The record is from RNAcentral.
CCUACGGGGUGCAGCAGUGAGGAAUAUUGGUCAAUGGACGAGAGUCUGAACCAGCCAAGUAGCGUGAAGGAUGACUGCCCUAUGGGUUGUAAACUUCUUUUAUAAAGGAAUAAAACGAGGCACGUGUGCCUUUUUGCAUGUACUUUAUGAAUAAGGAUCGGCUAACUCCGUGCCAGCAGCCGCGGUAAUACGGAGGAUCCGAGCGUUAUCCGGAUUUAUUGGGUUUAAAGGGAGCGUAGAUGGGUUGGUAAGUCAGUUGUGAAAGUUUGCGGCUCAACCGUAAAAUUGCAAUUGAUACUGGCAGACUUGAGUACAGGUGAGGUAGGCGGAAUUCGUGGUGUAGCGGUGAAAUGCUUAGAUAUCACGAAGAACCCCGAUUGCGAAGGCAGCUUACUAAACAGUGACUGACAUUGAUGCUCGAAGGUGUGGGUAUCGAAAGGGAUUAGAUACCCUAGUAGUC